UUUGGAAGAAUUGCCUGUGGGAGUUAUUGACGAAAAUGUCAUCGGUAAUUCAGCAAGUGAAGGGUUAGAUUCUGAUGCACAUGCAAUGACGGUGCUACCGGUGGGAGUGCUCGAUGAAGACAUGACUACAUCUGACGAGACUAAUACCUCAGAUAUGGAAGCAAUGAAGGAGUUACCGGUGGGAGUACUCAAUGAAUACGCGGCUAAAUCUGAANNNNNNNNNCUGAUAUGCAUGCAAUGGAGGUGCUACCGGUGGGUGUGCUCGACGAAGACGCGGCUAAAUCUGAAGAGACUAAUACCUCUGAUAUGCAUGCAAUGGAGGUGCUACCGGUGGGUGUGCUUGACGAAGAUGCUGAUAUGGGCGCUAAUAUGGAUGCAAUGAAGAUGCUACCAGUGGGAGUGCUGGAUGAAGACGGGGGUAAAUCAGAAGAGAUUAAUACUGCUGAUAUGNN
RNAcentral lists this long non-coding RNA (452 nucleotides) under Trifolium pratense (red clover). RNAcentral's name for it is "long non-coding RNA (TPRA_LNC002765)". The record is from RNAcentral. Lineage: Eukaryota; Viridiplantae; Streptophyta; Magnoliopsida; Fabales; Fabaceae.